AUUGAACGCUGGCGGCAUGCCUUACACAUGCAAGUCGAACGGUAACGGGCCUUCGGGUGCCGACGAGUGGCGAACGGGGGAGUAAUACAUCGGAACGUGCCCGAUCGUGGGGGAUAACGAGGCGAAAGCUUUGCUAAUACCGCAUACGAUCUACGGAUGAAAGCAGGGGACCGCAAGGCCUUGCGCGGACGGAGCGGCCGAUGGCAGAUUAGGUAGUUGGUGGGAUAAAGGCUUACCAAGCCGACGAUCUGUAGCUGGUCUGAGAGGAUGCUCGGCCACACUGGGCCGGAGACACGGCCAAGACUCCUACGGGAGGCAGCGGUGGGGAAUUUGGAACAAUGGGCGCAAGCCUGAUCCAGCCAUGCCGCGUGCAGGAGGAAGCCCUUCGGGUUGUAAACUGCUUUGGUACGGAACGAAAAGCCUUCUUUUAAUACAGGAGGGUCAUGACGGAACCAUAAGAAUAAGCACCGGCUAACUGCGU
RNAcentral lists this ribosomal RNA (481 nucleotides) under uncultured bacterium. Its description in RNAcentral is "partial 16S ribosomal RNA". It matches the Rfam family "Bacterial small subunit ribosomal RNA", at positions 29 to 506 of the family's 1533-position model. The record is from RNAcentral.